RNAcentral lists this ribosomal RNA (208 nucleotides) under uncultured Planktothrix sp. RNAcentral's name for it is "partial 16S ribosomal RNA". It matches the Rfam family "Bacterial small subunit ribosomal RNA", at positions 1175 to 1382 of the family's 1533-position model. Lineage: Bacteria; Bacillati; Cyanobacteriota; Cyanophyceae; Oscillatoriales; Microcoleaceae. The record is from RNAcentral.
GAGGAUGACGUCAAGUCAGCAUGGCCCUUACGUCCUGGGCGACACACGUACUACAAUGCGAGGGACAGAGAGCAGCCAACCCGCGAGGGAGAGCGAACCUCUUAAACCCUGGCACAGUUCAGAUUGCAGGCUGCAACUCGCCUGCAUGAAGGAGGAAUCGCUAGUAAUCGCAGGUCAGCAUACUGCGGUGAAUCCGUUCCCGGGCCUU